This 1189-nucleotide long non-coding RNA is filed under the name Medicago truncatula (barrel medic). RNAcentral describes it as "long non-coding RNA (MTRU_LNC002844)". The record is from RNAcentral. Lineage: Eukaryota; Viridiplantae; Streptophyta; Magnoliopsida; Fabales; Fabaceae.
GCAAUGAAUCUUAACCAACAUAAGGAGUGCUAGGUUAGAGGUCUUACAGUAGCAACAAACAAAGGAUGAUGGGAAGUCCCCAAUGAAAAACUCAUACACCUGUGAAAAUAAAGAAAAUCCAAAAACCUAUAGGAAACGUCUCCUAACAAAGGGCUAUCUCCGAAAUCAAUAAAUAGAAACACAAAAACAAAGCUAACACCACGAUCAACGAAACAACAUAAACAAAAUCCUCAAGCAUCGUCACAACUGCCACAAAAACAACUUCUACCACCCACAUUCCGCUGCUCGCACACAACCCCUGAACACCAACUUAAAAACCUACACCACAACCAACAACCUUUGAAGAACAGUCUGAAAAAAAACCCCAAACACCAUCAUUAGCUCUCCUAAGCACCAUUAACUUGUAAAUUUAUUCUUAGAAUUAUGAUUAUUGGAACUUUACAUUUUAAAGUUUAUUUCAAGUUUUAACAAAUUAUGAUUAAAAUGCUUUUUAUUCUUGGAAAAAUCCUUUUAUUCUCAUGUUAAAGAGUGAAAAUCAUAUGUUUUUAUGUAAACAAGACAUAAUUAAAUGUCUUUAAGGUUUAAUUUAACUAACAAUGUCAUAAAUUGAAUUUCUUUAUGCGAUUUCAAAUCGAUAUUUCAUUGAACAUAAAGCAAAAAAAAAGUAAAAAUAACCGGCCACCCUCUAAGUAUUUUAACACUUUUUUUUUUAAAAUCAAAACACUAAAGUAGUUCUACCCACUUAAUCUGAUGUAAAUAAUAAUACAUCAAUAUUUUAAGAAGAGUCAUAUUAUCAACUCUUUCAACAUUCUAAACACCAGUAAACAAUAAAACACAACUUUUGGUGCAUAUGAUAUGCUCAAUAAUUAAAAAUCCGAACCAAAAAAGUAUAGGAGUAUGUGUACAAGAGUGAGAUAGCCUUUGAAAUCAUUAUGCACUUCACAAUAUAAAAAGCAUAAAACGGGACCUCUCACCUUAGUGUGCUAUAGUUUUCUUCAAGUUAGGAAAAGAAGACUCAAAUAAACACUGAAAUCAGGACUCGUAAUCAUCGUCAUUUGUUUUGUUGAUAAAAUAGUUACUACAGCUCAUCAUAUCAUUAUAAAAAAUAAAAUUAGAAUCAUUGUGAAUGCGUUCAAUUAUUUAAAAGUAACCAUGCAUUUAUAUAUACGAACAAGGCAUGAGAAAGAGA